CGGGCUGUGGCGCAGCUUGGCAGCGCACCUGCUUUGGGAGCAGGGGGUCGCCGGUUCGAAUCCGGCCAGCCCGACGA
Molecule: transfer RNA, 77 nt
Filed under: Actinomycetota bacterium
Lineage: Bacteria; Bacillati; Actinomycetota
Description: Actinobacteria bacterium (hydrothermal vent metagenome) tRNA-Pro
Rfam family: tRNA
About the family: Transfer RNA (tRNA) molecules are approximately 80 nucleotides in length. Their secondary structure includes four short double-helical elements and three loops (D, anti-codon, and T loops).
Source: RNAcentral